UAGGGAAUAUUGGGCAAUGGGCGCAAGCCUGACCCAGCAACGCCGCGUGAGGGAAGAAGGUUUUCGGAUUGUAAACCUCUGUCCUAUGUGACGAAGGAAGUGACGGUAGCAUAGGAGGAAGCCCCGGCUAACUACGUGCCAGCAGCCGCGGUAAUACGUAGGGGGCGAGCGUUGUCCGGAAUUACUGGGCGUAAAGGGUGCGUAGGCGGUUUGGUAAGUUGGAUGUGAAAUACCCGGGCUUAACUUGGGGGGUGCAUCUAAUACUGGUAAACUAGAGUACAGGAGAGGAAAGCGGAAUUCCUAGUGUAGCGGUGAAAUGCAUAGAUAUUAGGAGGAACAUCGGUGGCGAAGGCGGCUUUCUGGACUGACACUGACGCUGAGGCUCGAAAGCGUGGGGAGCAAACAGGAUUAGAUACCCUGGUAGU
This 425-nucleotide ribosomal RNA is filed under the name uncultured bacterium. RNAcentral describes it as "bacterial SSU rRNA". It matches the Rfam family "Bacterial small subunit ribosomal RNA", at positions 355 to 794 of the family's 1533-position model. The record is from RNAcentral.